This is a long non-coding RNA of Neodiprion virginianus, 1372 nucleotides long. RefSeq lists it as uncharacterized. The record is from RefSeq and is a predicted model, not a curated record. Lineage: Eukaryota; Metazoa; Arthropoda; Insecta; Hymenoptera; Diprionidae. The transcript has 5 exons.
UGGGAACAUAUGGCAGUUGAACUCAUCUUCAGCAUCCAUGCAGUCGACGAUUUUGUCGCAGCGUCUUUUCGCCGAAUAACACUUCCGCGAUCCACUGUGACAGUAGUAUCCAGGACACCGUGCAAGCGCGGGUCCUGUUUAUCCACUCAACAAAUCGGCUCACUUUUGUGUAUGCACCAGGCUCGUUUGGACGUGCGCAACCUUCUCCGUGACUCACAAUUCCCGCUACGUACCAUUGAGACGGUGAAUUCGGAUUCCUGGUUAAAUCACAGUAUCAAAUUAACACCACGGUUUCAGUGCUAAAGCGACAAGAACUGACAUACCUGCACAUGAGUGGACCGCCACUGUCACCUUGGCACGUAUCCCGCCCGCCUGAUGGUAAUCCUGCACAGAUUUCCGCCUCGUUCUGAUCGGCCGGGUAUUUGCAGUUCCGCAAAAUUGGUCCGUGCUCAACUAGUGAUCCCCAGCCUGCGGUAACGCAGGUUGCGUCCGGGGUUGGUCCUGUUCUCCAGUGCGCUCCAGCUGUCGUGAUUUCUGGGAGACAAGCCGGUCUGACCCAACGGUUAAAGUGCAGAGGUGCUUCCAGACGUAGGAGGGCUAAGUCGUUCUUCAUGACCGUUCUGUCAUAAGUCGGGUACAUCACAACGUGGCUAACUUUACGGGAUUGCUCCAUCGCUCCAGUCAGCUCGCGCUGUCCAGCACCAAAUGCAGUAACUAACCGGGGAAAUUCAAAGAGCGAAACUAUAGCGAUCAGAUUUCAAACAAGUCAGCAAUUACUCGGAGGUCAUAGACAGCGGAAUUCCAACACAGGGUACGGGUUGGAUGUAGUAUAUUUUAAAGUAGGUAGGUGUUACCGCGAGCCUCCGAGAGAGUAGAAUUUUGCGUAAUAUCACAGCGUGAUAUUUGUGCAUGCCAUUAGUAAUUUGACGCUGUGUCUUAAUAAAGCAAUACUAACAGGCUUGCAUACUCUUAAUAAAAACCUAAGACGUAUACAUAUUUCGGAUACGUCGGAAUAUUUGUCAACUUCAAAUUGUACAUUACACGAUUAUUUUUAAUAUUUUUCGAGAUACAUGACACUUCUACCUCGACGGCAAAUCGUACAGCGCGGCAAUGUACAAAAUACGAGGCUAACAGCAGCGCAUGGUGGUGCUCAUGAAGGCGAAUGGAACAAUUUCGAAUGCGGAGAGUCAACUUAUUGGUACCGGAGAAGCAGGCUAAGAACGUUCAAGUGAUGGUGAGAAUUCCGCCUGUCGAUACGUAUAGAAAAACCACAGCAUCCAGAGAAUGACGAAUUGUGAGAGUGAAUUAUUGAUGUAGAUACUAAUGAAUCGAAUGUAAUUGUCAAGUGAUUUGAUUUCUAUGUGAAUCUUGU